GCGAACGUGGCGGAACCGGCAGACGCGCAGGACUUAGGAUCCUGUCCCGCAAGGGGUCCGGGUUCGACUCCCGGCGUUCGCA
This 82-nucleotide transfer RNA is filed under the name Gemmatimonadales bacterium. RNAcentral's name for it is "tRNA-Leu". It matches the Rfam family "tRNA". Rfam says of the family: Transfer RNA (tRNA) molecules are approximately 80 nucleotides in length. Their secondary structure includes four short double-helical elements and three loops (D, anti-codon, and T loops). The record is from RNAcentral. Lineage: Bacteria; Pseudomonadati; Gemmatimonadota; Gemmatimonadia; Gemmatimonadales. RNAcentral also lists the same sequence under 1 other name.